Sycon ciliatum is the source of this 780-nucleotide long non-coding RNA. RefSeq lists it as uncharacterized. The transcript is spliced from 3 exons. NCBI's taxonomy places the organism in Eukaryota, Metazoa, Porifera, Calcarea, Leucosolenida, Sycettidae. The record is from RefSeq and is a predicted model, not a curated record.
GUGAUGACGUCACAGUUCCUUCGAUACGCAUAGCAACGAUCCCACUGGGGACAAACAAAAGUAGCGUCGUCUCCACCGAACCAGUUGUCAGUGGCAACAUAUAGGAAUCGUGUACAUUUCUUCGUUUCUUCUUUGCUGUUUUCAGUGAGUGUUUUGUUUUCUCUUUGUCCUUGAUCUCGACGGUGUUGUCGUGCUCAUUACCUUACUGAGACGUCUCUUGUGACUGUAGCCAGUGUCACGGAGGAUUUUAUUGGCGUGACGAGGUAGAUCGCCGAGAUCGAGCGUGACAAACGCUCUGCAUUAGUAGCUCCUGUAGAAUGUCUUCUGGGAUGGCGUAUCCAUGGUCAACAAAACCAAGGUGCAAGACAACAUAAGAGAUCGUGUACACGAUGUGAACUCCAAAAGAUAAUCUGGACAAAUAAAUUAUAAUUGUAACUGGAGAGUGCAAUCGUGCUUGGGGCCCAUCCCAAUGUCAUCACAUGGCUGUGGUGACUAGUGCAUACCUGCGAGAGUUUUUCCUCAACUGAGACGGAGUGUAGGUGGAUGGAUUAUGAGAAAUGCGAAGAUGUGGAGUUCAAGGCUAGAUGCACUUCACAUUCGGCGUGCGAUCUCGGCGUCUGGGACCUGAUAACAUCUUGGUUGGAUGGGUAAUCGAGGAUGAUACUACUCGGCACACCAAUGUACAUGUCAAUGUAAUUUUUUACUUUUUCAGAGCUGCACUAACAGUUAUUUACGGACGAAUGUGUCUGUUAGAGAGGAAAUAAAUAGUAUUCACAAACA